This 431-nucleotide ribosomal RNA is filed under the name uncultured bacterium. Its description in RNAcentral is "partial 16S ribosomal RNA". It matches the Rfam family "Bacterial small subunit ribosomal RNA", at positions 28 to 506 of the family's 1533-position model. The record is from RNAcentral.
GAUGAACGCUGGCGGUAUGCUUAACACAUGCAAGUCGAACGGUCACUUCGGUGAUAGUGGCGGACGGGUGAGUAACGCGUGAGAAUCUGUCUUCAGGUCGGGGACAACAGUUAGAAAUGACUGCUAAUACCGGAUGUGCCUUUGGGUGAAAGAUUUAUUGCCUGAAAAAGAGCUCGCGUCAGAUUAGCUAGUAGGUGGUGUAAGAGACUACCUAGGCUCCGAUCUGUAGCUGGUCUGAGAGGACGAUCAGCCACACUGGAACUGAGACACGGUCCAGACUCCUACGGGAGGCAGCAGUGGGGAAUUUUCCGCAAUGGGCGAAAGCCUGACGGAGCAAUACCGCGUGAGGGACGAAGGCUUUUGGGUCGUAAACCUCUUUUCUCAAGGAAGAUGAUGACGGUACUGGAGGAAUAAGCAUCGGCUAACUCUGU